Long non-coding RNA from Melopsittacus undulatus (budgerigar), 5276 nucleotides. RefSeq lists it as uncharacterized. Lineage: Eukaryota; Metazoa; Chordata; Aves; Psittaciformes; Psittaculidae. The record is from RefSeq and is a predicted model, not a curated record. The transcript is spliced from 3 exons.
GCUCCAGGCGAAGGGCUGGUAAUUCUGGUUCCAUCCGCAGUGCUGGGGCUGCUGUGCAGGACUUGGGUGAGUGACUUCCCUUUAUGCUUCAUUCUUCUGCAAUGUAUGAAUUUAAAUAACUUAGUUCUGGCUAAAUUAAUAUUUGAAGGGUCUGCUCAAGGAAAAAGAGCACUCCCUUGGUGAAAAGCGAGGGGGAAAUACCUAGUCAAGUGAUGUGCAGAUAUGGAAAAUUAAACAAAUAGGAUUUAAAGUUUGUAAUUGUUCAGCUGUGAGGCCUUAUGUUCUAACUGCGUGGGGAAAACCAGGUACUUUAACUACAUAAAUAGAUGAUUUUUGUUUCUUUGGGUUUGUUUAGAGGGUUUUAGGAACACCCCAAUCAACCACGCAAUGGUUGUAACUUGUAUUUCUUUCACUAAUUUCUCUGCAGCAGGAGCACGGACACUUCUCAAGAUGUUGCUAGCUCAUAUAAACAUAGAGAAUAAGAAAAGCUGCAGGACUAUUAGGUUGGAUUUCCAUCUCUUUCUCAUCCAGGGCACCUGCUCCCCUUUCCCUCCCCUCCUCAGUCUUCCCAGCUGUCUGUCUGUCUCAUUUAUGUCAAUUAGAGAUUCAAUGCUGCCUGAUUUAAUUGGCCUGACUUUCCUUUCUAAUAGAAGCCCAAGCAAAGGCAGGGCAAGCAGGCAGGCAGCUCUCCAUGGGCUGCCUGCCCGGGGAAGGAGUCUCUCCCUCGCUGUUGGGAGGGCUGGGGCUUGUUUGCAAAGUAGAGCACAAUAACCUGUUUGUUAUCAUCCAUGAUGGGGAGGUUGGUGACCUCCUAACAGGGAUGAGCUGCAGGCAAGACGUGAUCCAAAAGCUUGGGGGUAUUUCUCAGUGGUUCGGGAAUCUGUGCAACCAGGUGCCCACCUCGGGUUGGCUUUUAGUGUGCUGCAGUGGUCAAGCUUUGCCACGUUUCCUCCUUCCACAAGGUCAGUAAGCAACACAACUUCCAUCAACCACAGCCCUAGAGGGCUCGUCCUUCCUCUUGAGCCUGAGCCACCCCCAGUGCUGCUUAACCAUGAGCAAAGCUGACCAAGGCCUUGAUUUCACAGGGUUUACACAAGGGUCUCUGACCCUGUCCCCUGCUUUGGGCAGCAAACCUGGAAGCAAAGCAGAUGAAAUCUCUGCCAUGCCUCCGCUCCCCCUCCAAGAGCCGGAUCCUGGGAAGCAGAUCUGACCUACUUCUUUUCCCUGGCUCCUCGCUCGCAGCUCCCUGACAAAUGACACAGCCCUUCAGCAGCUCGCAGCAGAAAAGCGAGUUUCCCAAAAAGCUGGCCCACAGAGGCGUCAAUGUUAAACAGCAACAGUACCAUCUAGUGACUUGGGCUUACAGAGAGCAUCACUUGGAAGGGGAAGAGGAAACCUGUGAAUUAGAGAGGCCAAGCAAGGUCCCAGAUUUGCAAAUGAGAUCCUAUCUCUUGGUUCAUUUGGAUUUAGGAAACAAAUGAUGCUGAUGCUGCAACCGUCCUUCUUUCCCGGGGUUCACAGUCCCAUUUUUAGGCUCCUGCCUCCCCACUGAACCCAGCCCUGACCCACGCUCCCUCUGCUGGUAACGUACUAAUUGAUUUAAUGUGUUCACAGCUUCUCACACACCCACUUGCACGCACAGCAGCAGCUCUGAAUGCCUGAGAUGAGAUCCAGGGCUGUGGUGAGUUCUCCCUUCCUACCAGUGAAAUCCUGAAUCAGAUGCAGAAAAUAAACCAGAUACAAUUCAAUUUACUAAGUCAAAAUUAGGCCCAAAACUGAACGUAAAUGGCCCGUUCCACACAGCUCUGACAUGACACACUCUCCUUCACAGCUGAAGGGAGGAAAUCAAAUUAGAGCAUUUCUUUUUCCAUCAAAGGACAUUAGUCCUCAUACGGGCUUGUUACGCCUCACCAUCAUUUAUCGUGUGCAGGAGUUAUCCCUGUAAGAAUUCAACUUGACUGGAGCUACAACAUGUUCUGCAUGUAAGGAAAAAAACCCAAAUACAAGUUUUCUACUAAGAAAGCCAUUUUCUUACUCUGUAUUUUGAUGAUUUUGUGAAGGUGGCAACCAUCCACAGCUGUUUUUUUGCAACACACCGGUGCACCUUGCCUCCUUCCCUGUUGUCACGUGUACAAAGUGCUUGAAGAGAGGUGAUACAAACCCCAACGCUGCAGAACUUCAAUACUAAAAGCCUUUAUCAAGUCUAUUAAGUGCCACUGGUACCAGCAGGAGAAAUUGCUUGGCUGGCUCCUGAAAUGUGUCCCCUCUUUGCUGUCAAGAGUGCAGCACUGCCCGAAGUCCACUCAGCCUUGCUCAUGGACUGGUGAGUGCCUGACAAUUUUCUGGUCUCAAAUGAAACAGAAAACUAAAUUAGCAAAUUAAUUGUUUGCCAUGUUUUUCCUUGGGCCCCAUCAGCUGCCUCAGGACUUGCAGCCAAUCCAGAGCCCCUCUCUGCAGUCCCGAGUAGAAGGUGGAGCCCUGCGCUGGGUCCUGCUAUCUACCAAGUGCUGAACAAGAUCUACCGUAACCUGCUUGGGAUCGUACCUGAGGAGUUGCACAGGAUCCUCAUAGUCUAUAGGAAGACAAUAACCACUCGCAGCACGAAGCCAGGAUUUUAUGUUUCUUCCCAGCCACAGAGAGGAGACACCUGUAUCUUCUCCCUGCAUUUGACUUCUUUGGCCUUAGGACUAAUGCAGCCUUGCCAGGACCCAAACAGGUCGUGCGACGGGUUCAAAAGUGUGCUUGAAAUCUGCUCCAAAAGGACCUGCCUGACUUCUCUAACAUGUUUGCUUCGGCUCAGUCACCUCCACCUCCGCUCAUCCUCGUGGCUUGUAGUUCCUGUGACCUGCAGCAUAGUCUCUGGUGAGGUGGGGAAGGUGAGGAUCAGCACCCUCGACAGUGGCUUCUUUGGACAAACAAUGCCAUCCUCUCCUUGCUCCCCCGUGUUUCUGCUGCCUGCUCUUGGAGCAGGGAAAUGGGGCAGGUUUGCACAGAGCUGGAGCAUCACAUGGGCUUUCACUUAAGCAUGCAAGCAUGGAAAAGUUUCAUUAACAGCGGGAUUCCCUUCAUGCAAUGUUUCCUCAGCUGCUGUGUCACAAAUCCAGCAUUUAACUUCCCAUUCAGGAAGCUCCUGUAAACUUCCCUCAUCCUCCUCAGCGGCCAAGCAGAAGGCUCCAGAGAUGAAGAGUGGAGCCUCUUGCAGUGUGUUUCAGUAACAUCACUUCAGACACGCCAUGUGGGAGUACAGAGUAUCAAGUACUCCGGUCUGAUACCCACAGGUCUCCCUGUUUAAGAUGUGCUCAGUACUACACCAGCAGCUAUAUAAAACUAACAUGUUUUUUACUGGAUUCUGUUUGUCUAGAUUCAGUGAUCUCUGCUCACUUGAGCCAGUUGAAAAAUAAACCCCAUUUUCAGCUGGAACACUAAAAAUACAGUGUAACUACUCUCCAGGAUGUGGUAGUUAUUUAAAAUACAGCACAAGUCUCAACCAGAUUAUCUUUUUUUCUCCUAACCAAGCAGGACUGCCCUUCUACCCAGCGCUGGGGAGCUGACAAAACAGCAGGAGAGGGAUUUGGACUGGAUCUAUUAUCAACAAUGCUGUUAAAUCACUUCCAACUGCAAAAUGUUUCCCUAUCAGUUAUGAAAGGAUUUCAAAUUCUGAACUAUCUGCUGGCCACGCACUUCACAUCACAAACUGAACACAAUUCAGAAGCCAGAAUGGUUCAUUUGUACCUAAUCACAGAACCUGGAACUUCUAAGGUGUCUGUGUACCUCCGACACAGAUCCCUGUGCUGGGCAGCGGGAGCACAUCCCAGUUCCCAGGACUCACUAAAGCCCUUCAAGCGGUUGAUAUUAAAGUGGUCAAUACUGGAGUGUCUGCCAUAAAAACAAGAGGACAAACAACAACUUGCUCACAAAAGAGCACACAAAAAGCACAUUUAGGAAUGAAGCAACUUCCCUCAAUUAAGAGUUCACAAAAUCGGGGCUUUUUUAUCUAUUCAUCUCCAACACUUGCAUUUCCUGCAGUUGGAGAAGCAUCCGAGUUCAGUUUAAUGUGCUGGGGUGGGGUUUUUAGGCUUUUGAUAAUCCUCCCAUGAUAAUUUAAACUAUCAACUAGGAAACAUAAAGCUUUUCAGCACAGACGACUGAAUCAGCUCUUUGUUGGAUGACGCUUUAUCCCCUUGAAGUAUCCAGGAUGAUUUACUCUAACGGGACAUGCAGACAAAGUGACAUUUUCCUAUCUUGUGCUAUCUAAACACAAGAUUGCAAUUACUCCAACACAACUGGCAUCAGGAUGCGGUGUGCUAUGGGCUUUGCAAUGGUGGCUGUUUAUUAGCUUUCCCAGGACCUGCCUUUUCUAAUUGAGGAGGAAAGAAAAGGAUCUGGAAACAAUCCAUUCUCAGGCCAAGGGUUUUGAAGUCGUUGUUUCAAAUUUGCUGACCUGCUCCAAGGAAAUCCUGCAUAAAUCCAUGGAUCUGCUGAUGAGUAAUAGGGGAGCUCUAGUGGUUUAGUAUUUCGAUGGCAGAAGGGAUGCAGUGCAGGAUUGACAGUAUUGUAUUGUAUUGACAGUAUAUGUGUAUUUACAAGUCACUGAUUGGAGUACAAAGUAAAACUGCAACAAAGACAGCAAUGAACUAAAAGGUAUUCAAAGGGAGCCGAGGCCUAAACCAGAGCACAGAUCAUCUUUAACUGAGUGGAGCUGGAGGGGUCUGAAGCCAGGAGAUGUUUUUUAGUCCUCAAGAGCCAGAGGCUGCUCUUUCCAUAGACCGAACUAUAGAAUUUAGAGCUAAAACAAAGAUCAGGAGGUGAGGACAGCCUUCACCCUUACUUUACAUUUGGAUAUUAGGUUUGUAAAUGGAGCCAUGUACAGAUUUAGGAAUGGUGUUAAGGAAAUGGAGGCAUAUGCAAGGUGCUGGGCAUCUAAAAUCAGGGAAUAUCUACGGAUGCAUUUGGUUGCUAACAGGAUUUAUGAGUAUCUACUCGCUAUAAUGAAUCCUUCCACAUAAUUUCAUUACACACUGCCUGCUUUUCCUGAGUUGUUCCAGCAUCCAAAAUUCAUGGAUUUAGUGGAAGAAGGGAGUUUUUGUGUCAGAGUUGCUUUGCAACAGCAGAAAGGAUCCUCAACUCCGUGUUCGAAUGGUGUUAAACCUUGGGAACUGGGGGAGAUGAGCAUGUGCCAGGCACCAGGUGAAGGGAGGCAGAGGAAGCCAGGUCUGAAAGUGUGAGGCUGGAUCACUAACGCCUGUAUCUAAUGAACCACACGGUUAUUUACCGAU